GUAAUAGCUCACUGGUCAAGUGGUCCUGCGCCGACAAUGUAGCGGGGCUUAAGCACACCGCCGAAGCUGUGUCAUUCAUGCAAUACAUCGGCUUGGACUCUUGAAGUCCUUGUCUAGUGGUAUGGAUGGGUAGGGGAGCGUCCUGCAUCCAGGGAAGCGGCGGCGGAAGCCAGUCGUGGAGGGUGUGGGAGUGAGAAUGCAGGCAUGAGUAGCGAAUGCAGAGUGAGAAACUCUGCCGCCGGAUGACCAAGGGUUCCUGGGCCAGGCUA
Molecule: ribosomal RNA, 269 nt
Filed under: Amycolatopsis eburnea
Lineage: Bacteria; Bacillati; Actinomycetota; Actinomycetes; Pseudonocardiales; Pseudonocardiaceae
Description: Amycolatopsis sp. GLM-1 partial 23S ribosomal RNA
Rfam family: Bacterial large subunit ribosomal RNA
Source: RNAcentral